AACGAACGCUGGCGGCAGGCUUAACACAUGCAAGCCGAGCGCAUCCUUCGGGGUGAGCGGCGGACGGGUGAGUAACGCGUGGGAACGUGCCCUCUUCUACGGAAUAGCCUCGGGAAACUGAGAGUAAUGCCGUAUACGCCCGCAAGGGGAAAGAUUUAUCGGAGGAGGAUCGGCCCGCGUUGGAUUAGGUAGUUGGUGGGGUAACGGCCUACCAAGCCGACGAUCCAUAGCUGGUUUGAGAGGAUGAUCAGCCACACUGGGACUGAGACACGGCCCAGACUCCUACGGGAGGCAGCAGUGGGGAAUCUUGGACAAUGGGGGCAACCCUGAUCCAGCCAUGCCGCGUGAUCGAUGAAGGCCUUAGGGUUGUAAAGAUCUUUCAGCUGGGAAGAUAAUGACGGUACCAGCAGAAGAAGCCCCGGCUAACUCCGUG
This 433-nucleotide ribosomal RNA is filed under the name uncultured bacterium. RNAcentral describes it as "partial 16S ribosomal RNA". It matches the Rfam family "Bacterial small subunit ribosomal RNA", at positions 29 to 507 of the family's 1533-position model. The record is from RNAcentral.